UACCAGCUGGCUGCAACUGUUUAUUAAAAACACAGCACUGUGCAAACACGAAAGUGGACGUAUACGGUGUGACGCCUGCCCGGUGCCGGAAGGUUAAUUGAUGGGGUCAGCGCAAGCGAAGCUCCUGAUCGAAGCCCCGGUAAACGGCGGCCGUAACUAUAACGGUCCUAAGGUAGCGAAAUUCCUUGUCGGGUAAGUUCCGACCUGCACGAAUGGCGUAAUGAUGGCCAGGCUGUCUCCACCCGAGACUCAGUGAAAUUGAACUCGCUGUGAAGAUGCAGUGUACCCGCGGCAAGACGGAAAGACCCCGUGAACCUUUACUAUAGCUUGACACUGAACAUUGAGCCUUGAUGUGUAGGAUAGGUGGGAGGCUUUGAAGCGUGGACGCCAGUCUGCGUGGAGCCAACCUUGAAAUACCACCCUUUAAUGUUUGAUGUUCUAACGUGGACCCGUAAUCCGGGUUGCGGACAGUGUCUGGUGGGUAGUUUGACUGGGGCGGUCUCCUCCUAAAGAGUAACGGAGGAGCACGAAGGUUGGCUAAUCCUGGUCGGACAUCAGGAGGUUAGUGCAAUGGCAUAAGCCAGCUUGACUGCGAGCGUGACGGCGCGAGCAGGUGCGAAAGCAGGUCAUAGUGAUCCGGUGGUUCUGAAUGGAAGGGCCAUCGCUCAACGGAUAAAAGGUACUCCGGGGAUAACAGGCUGAUACCGCCCAAGAGUUCAUAUCGACGGCGGUGUUUGGCACCUCGAUGUCGGCUCAUCACAUCCUGGGGCUGAAGUAGGUCCCAAGGGUAUGGCUGUUCGCCAUUUAAAGUGGUACGCGAGCUGGGUUUAGAACGUCGUGAGACAGUUCGGUCCCUAUCUGCCGUGGGCGCUGGAGAACUGAGGGGGGCUGCUCCUAGUACGAGAGGACCGGAGUGGACGCAUCACUGGUGUUCGGGUUGUCAUGCCAAUGGCACUGCCCGGUAGCUAAAUGCGGAAGAGAUAAGUGCUGAAAGCAUCUAAGCACGAAACUUGCCCCGAGAUGAGUUCUCCCUGAGACUUUAGGUCUCCUGAAGGAACGUUGAAGACGACGACGUUGAUAGGCCGGGUGUGUAAGCGCAGCGAUGCGUUGAGCUAACCGGUACUAAUGAACCGUGAGGCUUAACCUU
This 1147-nucleotide ribosomal RNA is filed under the name Salmonella enterica subsp. enterica serovar Muenchen. RNAcentral describes it as "partial 23S ribosomal RNA". It matches the Rfam family "Bacterial large subunit ribosomal RNA", at positions 1783 to 2925 of the family's 2925-position model. Lineage: Bacteria; Pseudomonadati; Pseudomonadota; Gammaproteobacteria; Enterobacterales; Enterobacteriaceae. The record is from RNAcentral.